This 22-nucleotide microRNA is filed under the name Macaca mulatta (Rhesus monkey). Its description in RNAcentral is "Mml-Mir-3173_3p (mature (guide))". RNAcentral also lists the same sequence under 1 other name. The record is from RNAcentral. Lineage: Eukaryota; Metazoa; Chordata; Mammalia; Primates; Cercopithecidae.
AAGGAGGAAACAGGCAGGCCAG